CCCUAUGAGGAGCCGCUGAAAGAGCUGGGCAUGUUUAGCCUGCAGAAGAGAAGGCUGAGUGGAGACAUGAUGAGGGCCAUGUAUACAUAUGUGAGGGGAAGUCAUAGGGAGGAGUAAGCAAGCUUGUUUUCUGCUCCCUGGAGACUAGGAUGCGGAACAAUGGCUUUAAACUACAGGAAAGGAGAUUCCACCUGAACAUCAGGAAAAACUUCCUCACUGUGAGAGCUGUUCGGCAGUGGAAUUCUCUCCCCCCGACUCUAUUAUUCUAUGAUUCUAUGGGGAAUACCACUGCUUUAAUGAUGUUGACCUUCAUUCCCAGUGUGAUGUCUCUGCUCUUCACUAUUUUAUAGAGGUUGGCCAUUGCUCUCCUCCCUAGAAGUAAGCGUCUUCUGAUUUCCUGGCUGCAGUCUGUGUCUGCGGUAAUCUUUGCGCUUAGAAAUAUAAAGUGUGUCACUGCCUCCAGAUUUUCUUCCUCUGUUUGCCAGUUGUCAGUCAGUCUGGUUGCCAUCAUCUUGGUUUUCAAGAUGUCCAACUGCAGCCCAGCUUUUGCACGUCCUUCUUUCCCCUUGGCGAUAAAACUCCUCAGCUCCUCCUCGCUUUCAGCAUGAAUUCUACAGAGGUGAAAUCUCCGCGCGAUCCGCUAGAGGUCGCUGUUGCAGAGGCCAAGCCCGGCGAGAAGGGGGACUGGCUUGGGACCGGCGCCUGGGGGGGGGGGGGGGGGAGUCCGCCUGCCUCCGGUGGCUCUUGGCUCCUGCUCGCCUUUCUGGCGCACCUUUCUGCCUGGAAGCCGAUGGGCAAGGCUCGCCCGGGGGCACCGAGGGCCACGGCGGUCCUAUGCCUUAAGCCCAUGGAUAAUUCAAAUCUUUCAAGAGGAUUUCAAAUGGAUUGAGGCACCCAUAUUUCUAAGGAGCAGGUAGGCAUUCCUUUGAAAUCUGUGUGAGUGGUUGUAACCAGUGUAAUUCUAGAAAGUAGGAUCAUGCUUCAGCAUCUAUUUAUAUUUGCAGUACACCUAGGGUCUGCAUUUAGAUCUAUUUUAGAUUAUAUGCUAAAUUGCAUAUUACAUGAAACACCAAGGGAGAAAAAUAACUGAUGUAGAGCUCCGAAAGAUUAGCCACCUUGAGUGAUAUGGCAUAAUGUUAUAUAUUGGCAAUCCAGAAUGAUGAAGGUUAUUAUGCUUAAUACUGUUAGAUUGGAUGUGAACAAGCUUUGGAGGACAAUUCUUUGCAUUAAGGACUUUUGACUUUGUGGUUAUCCAGAUUUUAAUCUUGGCCUUUCCCCCCCUUUUCUGGUGAUUACCAUCUAGUGAUAAUUAUACCUGGUGCUUGUUAUUGUAAUGGAUUUCUAUCCCCAUGUUAUUUGAAAACCCAAUUUUGUUACCUUUGCUUCACUUUUUUUAGUUAUUCAGGCAUUCUAGAAGCAAGGGCACACUGGGAAAUGACUUCUUGGUCCUUAUCUUUCCUUUUUCCAUAGGAAAACAUGCUAAUUUAAAUGUUGGGAGACUGUGUCAGGGUCUCCAUGGAAGAUGUGUUUUCCAGUCCAGUAUUAACUGAGCACAAUCUAAGGUCUUAAAUUUAAAAAACAGUGAUCCCUUGUUUAUCAAGAAAGGGUGAGACCUACGCUGCAUCUACACUGUAAAAUUAAUGCAGUUUGACACCACUUUAACUACCAUGGCUCAAUGCGAUAGGAUCAUGGGACCUGUCAUUGUAAAACGACAGUACCCAUGAUUCAAGGAGUGCUGGUGUCAUGAUUGCCAUACCAUUGUGCCAUCGUAACUAGAAUGAUGCCAAACUGCAUUAAUUUUACAGUAUAGAUUCACCCUUAGAGUUCCUGAUAGUAGUAAUCCUCAUUGUGCCUCCAAAAUAAAAAAAGUUACCAUUGAUGAUUGUCAAAAGUAUUAAAGAAUGUGUGGGAAUUAUAUGUCUUUCCAGAUGUGCUUGGACAUUUAAGUCUCAGUAAUCUUAACCAACAUAGCAUAUCUCAGUCCAUCCCAAUUGAGCAGAGACAAUCUGAUUAAUACUCUGCUAUUCUACUUUUUCAGCUGCUUUUCAAAUAUCCCAGAUUCCUUUUCUACCUCCCACUUUCUCCUUUUGUCUCCAGCUUCAUCCAAAGUGUGAAAAUAGUUUGUACUCAGUUAACUCAGCAAGGAUGAGAAGAGAGAAGUAUCUUCCUCUUCCUAAGAAGCUCAGACAAAAGCAAACAUCUGUAGCCUCUCCUAGCUUGUAUAUUCCUUCUUAUUAAUAACUUUUGCCAUUUUGUCCACAUUCUGAUGUUGCUUGGCCACAAGUGUCCAGGUUUUAUUUGUGAAAUGCUGGGAGAUAUGAUAAAGCCAGUGCUGAGAUUUGCAGACCAAAAACAUCAGGAGGGCAACGUAAUUCCCACCUCAGCAGCCAUGAGUGUAACCAUAUUUUCAAAAUCUGUGUGUAUGUUGUAUGCCUUCAAAUUGUUUCUUAUUUAAAUUGACUCUAUCACAAGAUUUUCUUGGAAAGAUUUAUAUGGAUGAGAUUUCCUUUCACCUUCCUCCGAAGCUGAAAAACUGAUUUCCUUAAGGUCCAUGCCUAAGCAGGGGUUCUGACCCUGGAGACCAGAGUUGUAGUCCAGCACUUAAACCUCUACACGACACUGGGUUUCACUUGCAAAAUAUCAGAGCUAGCAAGUUUUUCUUGGAGCCAAACUGAAAGGAAGGAAGAAAUACUCAAGUAUGCUGGUGAUAAAAGGUUGGAAACAACUUUUGCAGCACCAUGAUGUCAAUUCUGAAUCUGUUCAGGUGCAGGUGCUUUUUUCACAGCCGCUGAAGGCAAAUACUUGGACAUUAUGUAUGGGACUCCACUGACGACAAGAGCCCCAUGUUAACCUGAAUCAAGGAUCACUGGGCUGUGUCAAAGAAACAACCUUGAUUUGAAAGAUACAUAAGCUUCAUUAAUUUCAGAGUCAUUCAGCCUGUCCCCAGUUUCUAUAAAUCUGAUUUAAUCACAUUUUUUUAUUAAAGUUGGAUAAGAUCAUGUAGGAUCUCUGUCACCCCAAAAUGACUCUACUUUCCAUGCAGAUAACUCAGCUCAUGUCCAAUAUACAAGUUCAAUUGUGUUGGGGUGCCAAGUUAAUAUUGUAUUUCCGAAAAAAACAACAACGAAUCUAAGGUCUGUACCAGAUCUAAGGUAAGUAUACAGAAUAAAUGAAUAGAUGUGACUAUGCACUGGUGAAAGAUUUGGUAAACAUCCCCU
Anolis carolinensis (green anole) is the source of this 3218-nucleotide long non-coding RNA. The record is from Ensembl. NCBI's taxonomy places the organism in Eukaryota, Metazoa, Chordata, Lepidosauria, Squamata, Anolidae.